GUAGUGAGGCGAAAUUUUCUUGCACCUGAUGCCGAGGCAAUAUUAAAUAUCCCAAUUCGGCUCAAUGGUGGAGAAGAUGUCCUAGCGUGGGCUCUUGAAAAGUCCGGCGAAUACACUGUGAAAUCAGCUUACCGUGCUCUGGUGACUCGAGACGAGCUGCGUGCUCUAGAGGAAGGGACCGUAAUGGAAACUUCAUCGUCAGAAAAACAGCUGUGGACCGCUCUUUGGAAACUCAAGGUCAUACCUAGAGUUCGGGUUUUC
This 261-nucleotide ribosomal RNA is filed under the name Triticum aestivum (bread wheat). RNAcentral's name for it is "partial small subunit ribosomal RNA". The record is from RNAcentral. Lineage: Eukaryota; Viridiplantae; Streptophyta; Magnoliopsida; Poales; Poaceae.